CCAAUAGCGUAUAUUAAAGUUGUUGCAGUUAAAGAGCUCGUAGUUGAAUUUCGGGAUUAGUGCGCCGGUCGUGCCUUCGGUAUGUACUGGUGUUACUGGUUCCUACCUUCUGACGAACCGUCAUGUCAUUAAUUUGGUGUGGCGGGGAAGCAGGACUGUUACUUUGAAAAAAUUAGAGUGUUUAAAGCAGGCUCGCGCUUGAAUACAUUAGCAUGGAAUAAUGAAAUAGGACGUUCGAUCCUAUUUUGUUGGUUUCUAGGAUGGACGUAAUGAUUAAUAGGGAUAGUUGGGGGCAUUAGUAUUCAAUUGUCAGAGGUGAAAUUCUUGGAUUUAUUGAAGACUAACUACUGCGAAAGCAUUUGCCAAGGAUGUUCUCAUUAAUCAAGAACGAAAGUUAGGGGAUCGAAGACGAUCAGAUACCGUCGUGGUCUUAACCAUAAACUAUGCCGACUAGGGAUCGGAUGAUGUUAUUUUUAAUGACUCAUUCGGCGCCUUACG
This 498-nucleotide ribosomal RNA is filed under the name uncultured Glomeromycotina. Its description in RNAcentral is "partial small subunit ribosomal RNA". It matches the Rfam family "Eukaryotic small subunit ribosomal RNA", at positions 591 to 1092 of the family's 1831-position model. The record is from RNAcentral. Lineage: Eukaryota; Fungi; Glomeromycota.